GACGAACGCUGGCGGCGUGCCUAAUACAUGCAAGUAGAACGCUGAAGGAGGAGCUUGCUUCUCUGGAUGAGUUGCGAACGGGUGAGUAACGCGUAGGUAACCUGCCUGGUAGCGGGGGAUAACUAUUGGAAACGAUAGCUAAUACCGCAUAAUAGCAGUUGUUGCAUGACAACUGUUUGAAAGGUGCAAUUGCACCACUACCAGAUGGACCUGCGUUGUAUUAGCUAGUUGGUGGGGUAACGGCUCACCAAGGCGACGAUACAUACCCGACCUGCGAGGGUGGUCGGCCACACUGGGACUGGGACACGGCCCAGACUCCUACGGGAGGCAGCAGUAGGGAAUCUUCGGCAAUGGACGGAAGUCUGACCGAGCAACGCCGCGUGAGUGAAGAAGGUUUUCGGAUCGUAAAGCUCUGUUGUAAGAGAAGAACGAGUGUGAGAGUGGAAAGUUCACACUGUGACGGUAUCUUACCAGAAAGGGACGGCUAACUACGUG
RNAcentral lists this ribosomal RNA (495 nucleotides) under uncultured bacterium. Its description in RNAcentral is "partial 16S ribosomal RNA". It matches the Rfam family "Bacterial small subunit ribosomal RNA", at positions 28 to 507 of the family's 1533-position model. The record is from RNAcentral.